UGGAGGUGAUCGACACCACCAACCCAGAUAGAAAGCCUGCUAUCUUGUGAGCAUAUCCCAAGAAGAAUCGGAAUCAUCGGAGGUGUGGUGAAGGCACAGUGACGCCGUGAAGUUGGUUCGUCAACAGUGAAUUCAACAACUUCAACCGGCGGUUUGAGCCACUUACACUUCGAAUUGGACCUUGAGGUACUGUUGGAGUUUGAGUUGCUCGUUGAAGUUUGGGAUUGAGGAUUCGUUAAGUUGUUGAAGAAGCAGCUUGGACGAGAGGGGAAAAUCCUGCAGGUGGUAGAGACCGUGAGCAGGAGAUUUAAGGUGAGGAGCAGGAGGCUCGU
Prunus avium (sweet cherry) is the source of this 332-nucleotide non-coding RNA. NCBI's taxonomy places the organism in Eukaryota, Viridiplantae, Streptophyta, Magnoliopsida, Rosales, Rosaceae. The record is from RefSeq and is a predicted model, not a curated record.